This 241-nucleotide ribosomal RNA is filed under the name uncultured Actinomycetales bacterium. RNAcentral describes it as "partial 16S ribosomal RNA". It matches the Rfam family "Bacterial small subunit ribosomal RNA", at positions 89 to 334 of the family's 1533-position model. The record is from RNAcentral. Lineage: Bacteria; Bacillati; Actinomycetota; Actinomycetes; Actinomycetales.
ACUCGAGUGGCGAACGGGUGAGUAGCACGUGGGUGAUCUGCCCUGCACUCUGGGAUAAGCCUGGGAAACUGGGUCUAAUACCGGAUAGGACCAUGCUUUAGUGUGUGUGGUGGAAAGUUUUUCGGUGUAGGAUGAGCCCGCGGCCUAUCAGCUUGUUGGUGGGGUAAUGGCCUACCAAGGCGGCGACGGGUAGCCGGACUGAGAGGUUGGUCGGCCACAUUGGGACUGAGAUACGGCCCAG